GAUGAAGAACGCAGCGAAAUGCGAUAAGUAAUGUGAAUUGCAGAAUUCAGUGAAUCAUCGAAUCUUUGAACGCACAUUGCGCCCGCCAGUAUUCUGGCGGGCAUGCCUGUUCGAGCGUCAUUUCAACCAUCAAGCCCCCGGCUUGUGUUGGGGACCUGCGGCUGCCGCAGGCCCUGAAAACCAGUGGCGGGCUCGCUGUCACACCGAGCGUAGUAGAUUUUCAUCUCGCUCAGGGCGUGCUGCGGGUUCCGGCCGUAAAAAGCCUUAUUUACCCAAGGUUGACCUCGCAUCAGGUAGGAAGACCCGCUGAACUUAAGCAUAUCAAUAAGCGGAGGA
Molecule: unclassified non-coding RNA, 336 nt
Filed under: soil metagenome
Description: partial contains 5.8S ribosomal RNA, internal transcribed spacer 2, and large subunit ribosomal RNA
Rfam family: 5.8S ribosomal RNA (bases 1-120)
Source: RNAcentral